Molecule: ribosomal RNA, 253 nt
Filed under: uncultured bacterium
Lineage: Bacteria
Description: partial 16S ribosomal RNA
Rfam family: Bacterial small subunit ribosomal RNA
Source: RNAcentral
UACGGAGGGAGCUAGCGUUGUUCGGAAUUACUGGGCGUAAAGGGCUCGUAGGUGGCCAACUAAGUCGGACGUGAAAUCCCUCGGCUUAACCGGGGAACUGCGUCCGAUACUGGUUGGCUUGAGUUUGGGAGAGGGAUGCGGAAUUCCAGGUGUAGCGGUGAAAUGCGCAGAUAUCAGGAGGAACACCGGUGGCGAAGGCGGGUCUCUGGGCCGAUACUGACGCUGAGGAGCGAAAGCGUGGGGAGCGAACAGG